CUGGAUUAAACUGUCUGAUCCCAAAUCUCCAGUCUCACUGCCACAGCACAUACACAUUGACGAUAACGGGACAUUAGUCAUCUCGACCAUCCAGAGGUCAGAUUCAGGAGAUUAUCAGUGCACUGCAGAAAACAGAGUUGGUCAGGAUGCCAGACGUGUCACUAUAACAGUAACUGACCCUGAUGUUCCACCUGAUAAGGAAGCUCUGAGUAAAACAGCUAAACCCACUGUUCCAGAGAGUGAGCAGGAGUUAUUUACUCUCUAUGGUUCAAAGCUGCUGAAUAAUACAGAGAUUAACGAACCUCUCCAUCAAACCACCGAAGA
Long non-coding RNA from Danio aesculapii, 324 nucleotides. RefSeq lists it as uncharacterized. The record is from RefSeq and is a predicted model, not a curated record. NCBI's taxonomy places the organism in Eukaryota, Metazoa, Chordata, Actinopteri, Cypriniformes, Danionidae. The transcript has 4 exons.